CAACACUGCACAGUGGAUCACUUGGCUCGGGGGUCGAUGAAGAACGCAGCAAACUGCGCGUCGGAAUGUGAACUGCAGGACAUAUGAGCAUCGACACUUUGAACGCAUAUUGCGGACACUGGCUCGUCCACUGUCCAUGUCUGGCUCAGGGUCGGUUUUGCAUCCAUCCA
This 170-nucleotide ribosomal RNA is filed under the name Cyclops kolensis. RNAcentral's name for it is "5.8S ribosomal RNA". It matches the Rfam family "5.8S ribosomal RNA". Rfam says of the family: 5.8S ribosomal RNA (5.8S rRNA) is a component of the large subunit of the eukaryotic ribosome. RNAcentral also lists the same sequence under 1 other name. The record is from RNAcentral. Lineage: Eukaryota; Metazoa; Arthropoda; Copepoda; Cyclopoida; Cyclopidae.